RNAcentral lists this ribosomal RNA (410 nucleotides) under Polyphemus pediculus. RNAcentral's name for it is "bacterial SSU rRNA". It matches the Rfam family "Eukaryotic small subunit ribosomal RNA", at positions 573 to 876 of the family's 1831-position model. The record is from RNAcentral. Lineage: Eukaryota; Metazoa; Arthropoda; Branchiopoda; Diplostraca; Polyphemidae.
GCCGCGGUAACUCCAGCUCCAAUAGCGUAUAUUAAAGUUGUUGCGGUUAAAAAGCUCGUAGUUGGAUUUCAGUUUUCGGCCGGGCUCCUUCCCGUUCAAAUACGGGCGGUGAAGGGGCCUUUGGAUCGUCGGUGUCAAAGCCGCGGUCUUUUAACGGUCGGACUAUACCACCGGAGCGGGAUCGGUGGUGACUGUGCUCUUUUCGGAGGGCGCUGCUCACGGUCGCCCGCAUUUUACUGACUGGGGUGCCUUUAACCGGGUGUCCCAGCCAGCCGGUUACGUUUACUUUGAACAAAUUAGAGUGCUCAAAGCAGGUGCAUUUUCGCCUGAAUAUCACAGCAUGGAAUGAUGGAAUAGGACCUCGGUCUUAUUUUGUUGGUUUUUCUAGACCCGAGGUAAUGGUUAAUAGA